RNAcentral lists this ribosomal RNA (449 nucleotides) under uncultured bacterium. RNAcentral describes it as "partial 16S ribosomal RNA". It matches the Rfam family "Bacterial small subunit ribosomal RNA", at positions 29 to 523 of the family's 1533-position model. The record is from RNAcentral.
AACGAACGCUGGCGGCAGGCUUAACACAUGCAAGUCGAACGAGAUCUUCGGAUCUAGUGGCAGACGGGUGAGGAACACGUGGGAACAUCCCUUUCAGUUCGGAAUAACGUUGGGAAACUAACGCUAAUACCGGAUACGUCCUUCGGGAGAAAGAUUUAUCGCUGAAAGAUUGGCCCGCGUCUGAUUAGCUAAUUGGUGAGGUAAUGGCUCACCAAGGCUACGAUCAGUAGCUGAUCUGAGAGGAUGAUCAGCCACAUUGGGACUGAGACACGGCCCAAACUCCUACGGGAGGCAGCAGUGGGGAAUAUUGGACAAUGGGCGCAAGCCUGAUCCAGCCAUGCCGCGUGAGUGAUGACGGCCUUCGGGUUGUAAAACUCUUUUAGUGGGGAAGAUAAUGACGGUACCCACAGAAAAAGCCCCGGCUAAUUUCGUGCCAGCCGCCGCGGUAA